ACACUCCUGCGGGAGGCAGCAGUGGGGAAUUUUGGACAAUGGGCGAAAGCCUGAUCCAGCAAUGCCGCGUGUGUGAAGAAGGCCUUCGGGUUGUAAAGCACUUUUGUCCGGAAAGAAAUCCUUGGCUCUAAUACAGUCGGGGGAUGACGGUACCGGAAGAAUAAGCACCGGCUAACUACGUGCCAGCAGCCGCGGUAAUACGUAGGGUGCGAGCGUUAAUCGGAAUUACUGGGCGUAAAGCGUGCGCAGGCGGUUUGCUAAGACCGAUGUGAAAUCCCCGGGCUCAACCUGGGAACUGCAUUGGUGACUGGCAGGCUAGAGUAUGGCAGAGGGGGGUAGAAUUCCACGUGUAGCAGUGAAAUGCGUAGAGAUGUGGAGGAAUACCGAUGGCGAAGGCAGCCCCCUGGGCCAAUACUGACGCUCAUGCACGAAAGCGUGGGGAGCAAACAGGAUUAGAAACCCCGGUAGUCCCA
RNAcentral lists this ribosomal RNA (473 nucleotides) under uncultured organism. RNAcentral describes it as "partial 16S ribosomal RNA". It matches the Rfam family "Bacterial small subunit ribosomal RNA", at positions 333 to 797 of the family's 1533-position model. The record is from RNAcentral.